CGUAGGUGAACCUGCGGAAGGAUCAUUACCGAGUGUAGGGUUCCUAGCGAGCCCAACCUCCCACCCGUGUUUACUGUACCUUAGUUGCUUCGGCGGGCCCGCCAUUCAUGGCCGCCGGGGGCUCUCAGCCCCGGGCCCGCGCCCGCCGGAGACACCACGAACUCUGUCUGAUCUAGUGAAGUCUGAGUUGAUUGUAUCGCAAUCAGUUAAAACUUUCAACAAUGGAUCUCUUGGUUCCGGCAUCGAUGAAGAACGCAGCGAAAUGCGAUAACUAGUGUGAAUUGCAGAAUUCCGUGAAUCAUCGAGUCUUUGAACGCACAUUGCGCCCCCUGGUAUUCCGGGGGGCAUGCCUGUCCGAGCGUCAUUGCUGCCCAUCAAGCACGGCUUGUGUGUUGGGUCGUCGUCCCCUCUCCGGGGGGGACGGGCCCCAAAGGCAGCGGCGGCACCGCGUCCGAUCCUCGAGCGUAUGGGGCUUUGUCACCCGCUCUGUAGGCCCGGCCGGCGCUUGCCGAACGCAAAUCAAUC
RNAcentral lists this ribosomal RNA (525 nucleotides) under Aspergillus flavus. RNAcentral's name for it is "partial 18S ribosomal RNA". The stretch from base 211 to 364 matches the Rfam family "5.8S ribosomal RNA". Lineage: Eukaryota; Fungi; Ascomycota; Eurotiomycetes; Eurotiales; Aspergillaceae. The record is from RNAcentral.